UCGUUUUUUACUUUUUAUGUUUCUUCUUCAACUAAUUAUUUUCUAGUUUUGCUAUAAAAUAAUUUUGAUGUGUGUUUUUGUGUAAAAAAUGUUAAUUUAUGUGUAUGGAAACCUUUAGUUUUUAUUGUUUUUUUAUUUGUUAAUUUUUCAAAUCCUUUUCCAAUCUUCUCAUGUCAGGAUUCUUUAACAUGGUUUUUGUAUGUUUGACCUAGACAUUCUAAAAGGAGUUCGAGAGGGAGAAAGAUAAAAAAUAGCCAGC
RNAcentral lists this long non-coding RNA (259 nucleotides) under Lathyrus oleraceus (garden pea). Its description in RNAcentral is "Pisum sativum (pea) long non-coding RNA (PSAT_LNC023322)". The record is from RNAcentral. Lineage: Eukaryota; Viridiplantae; Streptophyta; Magnoliopsida; Fabales; Fabaceae.